This 492-nucleotide ribosomal RNA is filed under the name uncultured bacterium. Its description in RNAcentral is "partial 16S ribosomal RNA". It matches the Rfam family "Bacterial small subunit ribosomal RNA", at positions 29 to 507 of the family's 1533-position model. The record is from RNAcentral.
AGUGAACGCUGGCGGUAGGCCUAACACAUGCAAGUCGAGCGACAGCACAGUAAGAGCUUGCUAUUAUGGGUGGCGAGGAGCGGACGAGUGAGGAAUACAUCGGAAUCUACUUUUUCGUGGGGGAUAACGGAGGGAAAAUGACGCUAAUACAUCAUAAGACCAAACAGUGAAAUCAAGUGAUCUUCGUACAUUUCCCGAUCUCAUAGGUCGAUGUCGGUUUAGCUAGUUGGCGGGUGAAAUGCCGACCAAGCCGACGAUACGUAGCUGGUCUGAGGGGAUGGUCGGCCACACUGGAACUGAGACACGGUCCAGACUCCUACGGGAGGCAGAAGUGGGGAAUAUUGGACAAUGGGCGCAAGCCUGAUCCAGCCAUACCGCGGGGGUGAAGAAGGCCUUCGGGUUGUAAAGCCUUUUUGUUGGGAAAGAAAAUCAGCAGGUUAAUACCCCGCUGUUCUGACGGUACCCAAAGAAUAAGCACCGGCUAACUUCGUG